RNAcentral lists this ribosomal RNA (240 nucleotides) under uncultured bacterium. RNAcentral's name for it is "partial 16S ribosomal RNA". It matches the Rfam family "Bacterial small subunit ribosomal RNA", at positions 94 to 334 of the family's 1533-position model. The record is from RNAcentral.
AGUGGCGGACGGGUGAGUAACGCGUGGGUAACCUGCCUCACACUGGGGGACAACAGUUAGAAAUGACUGCUAAUACCGCAUAAGCGCACAGGACCGCAUGGUCCGGUGUGAAAAACUCCGGUGGUGUGAGAUGGACCCGCGUUUGAUUAGGUAGUUGGUGGGGUAACGGCCUACCAAGCCGACGAUCAGUAGCCGACCUGAGAGGGUGACCGGCCACAUUGGGACUGAGACACGGCCCAA